Molecule: non-coding RNA, 73 nt
Organism: Podarcis lilfordi (Lilford's wall lizard)
Lineage: Eukaryota; Metazoa; Chordata; Lepidosauria; Squamata; Lacertidae
Source: the annotation of a GenBank genome assembly
ACAACCUCUGAGUUGGACAUUGGAAACACUGACAAUGGUCAACAGUGUUUCCAAUGUCCAACUCAGAGGUUGU